GGGAGCAGGCAGUGGGGAAUUUUUCGCAAUGGGGGCAACCCUGACGAAGCAAUGCCGCGUGGAUGAAGAAGGCUUCGGGGUUGUAAAGUCCUUUGGUGGGGGACGAAAAGGCGGGUCCUAAUACGAUCUGCUGUUGACGUGAACCCAAGAAGAAGCACCGGCUAACUCCGUGCCAGCAGCCGCGGUAAUACGGGGGGUGCAAGCGUUAAUCGGAAUCACUGGGCGUAAAGGGUGCGUAGGCGGUACGUUAGGUCUGUCGUGAAAUCCCCGGGCUCAACCUGGGAAUGGCGGUAGAAACCGGCGCACUAGAGUAUGGGAGAGGGUGGUGGAAUUCCAGGUGUAGCGGUGAAAUGCGUAGAGAUCUGGAGGAACAUCAGUGGCGAAGGCGGCCACCUGGCCCAAUACUGACGCUGAGGCACGAAAGCGUGGGGAGCAAACAGGAUUAGAUACCCUGGUAGUCCACGCCCUAAACGAUGAAUACUAGAUGUUUGGUACCUAGCGAACUGAGUGU
This 511-nucleotide ribosomal RNA is filed under the name uncultured Acidithiobacillus sp. Its description in RNAcentral is "bacterial SSU rRNA". It matches the Rfam family "Bacterial small subunit ribosomal RNA", at positions 343 to 846 of the family's 1533-position model. Lineage: Bacteria; Pseudomonadati; Pseudomonadota; Acidithiobacillia; Acidithiobacillales; Acidithiobacillaceae. The record is from RNAcentral.